RNAcentral lists this ribosomal RNA (608 nucleotides) under uncultured Actinomycetes bacterium. RNAcentral describes it as "bacterial SSU rRNA". It matches the Rfam family "Bacterial small subunit ribosomal RNA", at positions 60 to 665 of the family's 1533-position model. The record is from RNAcentral. Lineage: Bacteria; Bacillati; Actinomycetota; Actinomycetes.
AGUCGAACGCUGAAGGCCAGCUUGCUGGGUUGGAUGAGUGGCGAACGGGUGAGUAACACGUGAGUAACCUGCCCCCUUCUUUGGGAUAACGGUCGGAAACGGCUGCUAAUACCGGGUAUUCACUGUCCUUCGCAUGGGGGGUGGUGGAAAGGUUUUUUCUGGUGGGGGAUGGGCUCGCGGCCUAUCAGCUUGUUGGUGGGGUGAUGGCUUACCAAGGCUUUGACGGGUAACCGGCCUGAGAGGGUGACCGGUCACAUUGGGACUGAGAUACGGCCCAGACUCCUACGGGAGGCAGCAGUGGGGAAUAUUGCACAAUGGGCGAAAGCCUGAUGCAGCGACGCCGCGUGAGGGAUGACGGCCUUCGGGUUGUAAACCUCUUUCGCUCAUGGUCAAGCCGCAACAGUGGUUGUGGUGAGGGUAGUGGGUAAAGAAGCACCGGCUAACUACGUGCCAGCAGCCGCGGUAAUACGUAGGGUGCGAGCGUUGUCCGGAAUUAUUGGGCGUAAAGGGCUUGUAGGCGGUUUGUCGCGUCUGCCGUGAAAUCCUCUGGCUUAACUGGGGGCGUGCGGUGGGUACGGGCAGGCUUGAGUGCGGUGGGGGAGACUGGA